Molecule: ribosomal RNA, 253 nt
Filed under: uncultured bacterium
Lineage: Bacteria
Description: partial 16S ribosomal RNA
Rfam family: Bacterial small subunit ribosomal RNA
Source: RNAcentral
UACGUAGGGUGCAAGCGUUGUCCGGAAUCAUUGGGCGUAAAGCGCGCGUAGGUGGUCAUGUAAGUCCGCUGUGAAAGUCAAAGGCUCAACCUUUGAAAGCCGGUGGAUACUGCAUGACUAGAGUACGGAAGAGGCGAGUGGAAUUCCUGGUGUAGCGGUGGAAUGCGCAGAUAUCAGGAGGAACACCAAUAGCGAAGGCAGCUCGCUGGGACGUUACUGACACUGAGGCGCGAAAGCGUGGGUAGCAAACAGG